RNAcentral lists this non-coding RNA (108 nucleotides) under Sphingomonas sanxanigenens. RNAcentral describes it as "TPP sequence". It matches the Rfam family "TPP riboswitch aptamer (THI element)". Rfam says of the family: Vitamin B(1) in its active form thiamin pyrophosphate (TPP) is an essential coenzyme that is synthesised by coupling of pyrimidine and thiazole moieties in bacteria. RNAcentral also lists the same sequence under 1 other name. Lineage: Bacteria; Pseudomonadati; Pseudomonadota; Alphaproteobacteria; Sphingomonadales; Sphingomonadaceae. The record is from RNAcentral.
GCGCUAUCCCCGGGGGGCUGCACGCAAGCAGCUGAGAUAUGGCUGAUGCCAUGACCCGCUGAACCUGAUCCGGUUAGCGCCGGCGUAGGGAGGGAGGCGCGGGCCGCC